CUCCACUACCUCUCCUCUCUCUCGUACCAGAAAAGACAAAAAAAGAAAAUAGAUAAAUGGGAACGUUACUCUCUCACUCUCAGACCACUAUUCACUCUCUCAAAAAAAAGACAAUCUCUCAAUUUCCUCUCAACUCUGAGCUCACACAAUCCCCUUCCUCUCUCGCCCCAAAUCUCUCACUCUCAAUUCUCAGCUGAAACUCUCACCGACAAACCCUCCUCUCUAAAAUCCGCCGCCACCACCUUCUACCACCACUAAACACUCACCAACCGUCAACCCUCCGAAUCCUUCAUCAUCUUCGUCAUCGCAACUCAACCGUUCACCGCCACCCAAAACCCCUACCGUCGCGGCGACUUCCACCUUCAAACCCUUAAACCACCUUCGAAACACCGUCAAAACCGCCGUCGCUCUCACCGGCAAACUCUCUCCAUCUACCUUCAAAUCGCGCCCUCACCGACAAACCCACACGAAACCUACUCAUCUCACAAUCUCCAAGCCGUCACCAUCCAUCAUCGCUUCCGUCCACAAUCGCGACCCAUCUUCACCGCUAAAACCUAAUCUCUAAAUCCGCCGUCAUCACCGUACCGAAGCCGUCGGUGACUUGUCAGUUCGCAACUAUCUUCGACCUUCAUCAACAGUUUGGGAUUGUGUUGUGUAAUUUUUCUGUUUUUUCAGGGAAAGUCUGAAGCUUUAGAGCCAUGGGUCCAGCACCGGUGACGAUUACAACUAGCCUCUGUUGAUAGCUUCAAAAGGAUUUUCUUAUGAUUCUGGAAACGGUUUCAAGUCGCGCUGAUUCCUCUUCUUCCGCAACAACCACAAAGACCGUUAUUACUCUACCACUCUCAGCACGGCGUCGAAACCGCUUCUUGUCCACAUUAAAGCAAGCCGGGCAGAUUGUUGAAACACCAUGGAUACGGGGAUUGGGUGGAAGAUCUCAGGCUGUUGCUGAUGAUGUACUCCUGAAAUAAGCUCUUGACAACUAUCCGUCUGUACGGUAACAGAUCGAUUUAAGCUUAUUUUAGAAUUAUGAUUGUUUCAUGACAGUAUUUGAUAUCUCUGGAUAAUGUGUGUGUUUGUGAUUUUUAUCUUCCGAUUCGUUCUGGUGGUAGAUGGUAUCAACAUAUUUUAUGCUGAAAAUUUCGUUGAGGAUUGUAAAUUUUUUCUCUGAAUAUUGUUACUCUGUGUCGUUACUGUUUCGUUUUGUGUUGAUACUACAAUAGCCCUGUAUAUAAUCACAAUUUGCGGUGACAUACUUUGAUACCAUUUUUAUUGUACAUAUUCAACUCUUGAUUAUGACUUGUUUUAGCUAUAUCAAAAGGAUUUGUUUUGUAUUGCCUGUGAAGUUUAUAGUUGCUUGUAGUAUCUCGUUCAUUUUUCAUUUGAAUUGAGAUUUGGAUUAUGAAUACCAACGUGCUUGCUUAUACACAACUUAUGCGACUUUCAGUUUGGAUUAUAUUUGGGAAGAUAUUUUAAGUGGGAACUGUAUUAAAAUUCUGCUCUUGAAUUAUUAGAUUAGUUUGUGGAUGGAUCACUAUUGUUGGUGCAAAUGAGUUAUUAGCCCACGGCAUUAUCAGAAUUCUAAUAAUCUCAUGAUUGGUUUACAACGAUUUUCUCAAAUGCAUGUUGUUUUUAUUGCUGAAAUUUAAAUUGGAUUAUCAAUUGCCUAAUGGACUUUAUAGUGUAUAUAUAAGUCUACUUUAAUCAUAAGGCAUNAGUUCCUUCCUUGAAAACACAAACUUUAGAACCUACCCUUGGGAAUUUCUAGUAAUCAGAAAAACCCGUAUUUCUUCCUGUUAUCCUGACGUACCCGACGUGUGAAUAAUCUUAAGUCUGUAUUCCUUUGCAAAAAACAUGGCAAAAUUUCAUGCAUUUGCAUAUCAUCAACAUGCAUUGCAUAUCAUCUCCCAGAAACAAAAUCUCACACCAUGUUCUGCCCUUUGUCCAGUAAACGCUGACUACUCGACACCGGUACGAGACACGCCGCAAUUACAAGAUGACACUUGAACAGCUUGAAGCUAACCAAGUUUCGAUGAGGACCGACAUUGACUCCAUGCAGGCAAAGAUGGAUCGCUUGCUUGAGACCAUGUUACUCUUGGCUCAGAAGGAGAAGGAUGCUGAGACUAACGCCGAAGCCAGGAAAAUUGCUGCCCAAUUUGGAUCACCAUCGCUCAGUAUCCCUGGAGUGAUUGACCUUGAUGGUAACCCUAAUCAGCCUAGAGAAGGACCGAUCCCUAUUCCGAUCCCAAUGGACAAUAUAAAACCCCACGAGCAUUCUACUGUAUCUGCUCGACACGGAUCUGUGAUAUGUGAUGAAGAUCCAUAUGACGCUUUCUUCAUGCCACAGCCCGUCCAGCCUGCUGUUGGAGGUCUCCCAGACCCAGCUGUUGACAGACUCCAUGCGUUGGAGGAAAAGUUUAAGUCCUUGGAGGUUCACACUACUCCCGGUUUGGACGCCGUCGAUAUGUGCUUGGUGCCAGGCCUUGUGAUUCCACAGAAGUUCAAAGUCCCGGACUUUGACAAGUACAAAGGGAUCAGCUGCCCAAGAACACACCUCAGAGCUUACUGCCGCAAAAUGGCCGCCCACAUCAGUAAUGAUCAACUCCUGAUUCAUUACUUCCAAGAUAGUCUCAGUGGGGCAUCUUUGGAGUGGUACAUGCAACUGGAGAGAGGACAGGUCCAAUCAUGGAGAGACCUUGCUGAAGCAUUCCUCAGGCAUUAUCAGUACAACACUGAUCUAGCACCCAAUCGCACCCAACUGCAAGACAUGACUCAACGCAACAAUGAGUCAUUCAAAGAAUACGCCCAGCGGUGGAGAGAGCUAGCAGCUCGUGUUCAACCUCCUCUCUUUGACAAAGAGCUAAUUGACAUGUUUAUGGGAACCCUACACACCCAGUACAUGGAGAAGAUGGUAGGAUCCAGUUUCCCAACUUUUGCUGAGGUCGUCUCCGUGGGAGAACGAAUCGAGAGCCAGAUCAAGAAGGGGAAACUACCUUGCGCUGCUAAUGCUUCAAGUGGGAUGAAGAAACCUUAUCCUAAUCUCCCAAAGAAGCCAGAAGGUCAAACCAAUUCCAUAAUGGGAGGAGGAGGAUAUAGGGCACGCCCGUAUGCUCCUAUGCCUUAUAAUCAGGUUGCCGCUGUCGUCCCGACACCAUAUCAGCCUCCAUAUCAGCAACCCCAUCAACAACAAUAUCAACAGCCUUAUCAACAAACAGCUUAUCAGCAUCAGAAUCAACAUCGACGUGCUCCACAACCACGUCCCCCCAAUCAGCAGAGGGCAAGGAGGCCAGAAAGGCAUUUCGAUCCUUUGCCAGUAUCAUAUAGCAAGAUCCUCCCCUACCUGCUAAAGGAUGGAUCGGUCGUUCUGAAGGAGAUAACACCUGUAACUCCACCAUAUCCUCCAGGCUACGACGCCAAUGCUCACUGUGAGUAUCACAUGGGUGCUCCAGGGCACACAAUAGAGAACUGUAAGGCUUUCAAGCACAAGGUUCAAGAUUUGGUUGACAGUAAAGCACUUACAUUCACGCCAGUGAGGCCAAACGUUGCAACAAACCCCAUGCCGGCGCAUGCAGAAUCAAGUGAAGCUCGAAGGUAAAGCUUCCCACCGGCCUAAACAAGCAGAGCAAUUCCGCUGAAGAACCCAGAGAUGAAGGCUUGUUCAUUUGAAUGAAGGCAAUCCUGAUGCCAUUUUUACCAUUUUGCAUUCUUGUAAUUUGAUCUUGUUUGUCUAAGUACUGUACGCUUUAAACAUUGUUAUUUGUAUUUGGUUUUGUUAAUGGGAUGGUUAUGCAUGCUUUGAAUCAAUCUUUCNGGAUGAAACCCUGCUGAUGAUGUACAGGCAUUGUUUCAAAUCCCCAAACACUGGAGAGAUAAGGAGUUAAUCCCUAGUCAACCACUUCGAGCCUAGAAGUAGGAGUUUCUUUCAGAUCUAAAAAACCUUUACGCUUAACCUGGGGCAGGGUAGUGUUCAGUUAACCUGACUACACAUACAAAUUACAAAGGUGAAGUAUCCCAUACGAGGAUCAACCAUAUGACACUCUUCACACACAUCAUGAAGUGUCGAAGGAACCAUACAAAUCCAGAAUCUAUGUCGGUUGUUCUUCAAUGACCAAUGUCCUGGCAGUCACAAUUAAAAAAAAGGUCGAAGAAAGAGCCCGCUAAGUCGAACACCCUAAAAGGAGACUUAGGCAAAAAACAGGGGCAAUCCCGAUGGAUUAAAGCUUCAAACAAAGCGGUCCAUGCAAAAGUUAGGGAUCAAAACAAAAAAUCGAAAGAGACAAUGAAAGUCCUCAACAAAAGCAAAACAAGAUUCAGUGACCACCAUACCAAAAUCAAAGGGUCGCCGACAUCCAAAAAAACGAAAUAAGGUGGCUGCCAUUCCAAGGGACUUUGAACCACCAUCUUUAUCCUUACACAUGCAAGAGAAGAAUGUGUGUGAAUUAACUGAACAUAGGAUUGGAGAUCAUCAUGAAGAAGGGGUGGGUUAAAAUAAACUUUGAGCCUUAUAUCCUUUUGUUUCAAAACCAUCGACCAACACAGCAACGCCUCAAAAGACCAAGUUGAGUAGUGGUUUAUUCUGAAAGCAUACAUACAAGUUAGUAACUGACUCCUAAAUAUUUUCCAAUAUUCUCCUCUCACUAUAUCACUCACACACUAGCUAAAUCAAGCACCGCGUUUGGACACAUGAUCCACUCGCCACACACUACCACAACACUUCCCAAAUGAAUGAUUAUUUUUCAAAACUUGCAUAACUGUUGCAUUAACAUCACCAUUUCGUAGAUAACAAUUCUUAAUUGUCAGUCAGUGCUUGACAUCGGAAAAUUCCAACAAGGAGUAAUUCAACGGGCACUUGAUUGUUGGUGCUGACACGAAUCCAGACCAUCCUGUGAAUCAGGGGCAUGGCAUCUUUUGAUCAUAUUGACCUAAGAAGUAGUCUGUGUAAGACAAAUCUCCAAGCAUCGGUUGAUCAGGGAGAAAAACACUUCAGUACUCGGCCCGUCUGAAGCAGGUCCCUCAAAGGCUAAUCAGGGGCAGACCAUAGCCAGAUUUGGACAUCAGGAAACAAACUCAGACCAUGUCAUGGGAUAAUCACUCCUAAGGUUUCUUGCAGGGAGAAUUCCUUUGAACACCCUACAAACAGGGGCAAGACAAGUUGCAAGGGGCAAAAUUCCCUUCAUAUCUUCAAGACAGUCAGGCAGAUUGCGUCAAACAUUAGUGACUGCUUGAAUUCACAACCAAAAUGUCAAAAGUUCGUACCAGUACAACAUCAUGCCUUGACAAGAAUCCUUGAGGCACGUCAAAAGCACAAUCAUCAUGCGCUGAUCACGUCGCUAUGCUCAGUUACAAGCUGGCCAAACACUUCAGAAGAAGAAACCAAGAUCUUCUCAAAGACAAAUACUCAACAUAUCAGCAAGAGAUCAAACCUGGGGCACCAAGAGUAUCCACAUCCAUUUCGUGUUCAUCAUAUCAUCAACUACUGAGUGUCGGGAAUGUCAGAUCCUUUCACCAAUCAAUAGCAUAUCCACAUUGACAAUUACCAAAAAAACCUAAAGCCCACAUUGUUGGCACCCACAUAAAACCAAAUAUAACCAACUUUGGUUUCCAGAAGAUGCAUUGCCUUUGAAAGGGGGGCCAAUCCCAAACAAACCAAUCAUUCUUUGCAUACAAACAUGCAUUUCAUGCAUCAUAUGCAUCACCUCAUACAUAAUACAUACAUAUCAUUCAUGUACAUAACACAAAUCAAGAUCCAAGGUUUAGUCGUAGGCAUACAGGCCAACCCUCAGUUGAGUCGUUAUUUUUCUCUGAGUGAGUUCCUACCCUACUAUCGGGCGUUCCCCAUUGAGUUACAUCCUUCAACCUUUUGUUGAUAAGAUGUUAUCCUCAGCUUAGUCAAACAAUGUUUCUUUAAACACCUAUUUUUUUUUUCACGUUGAGCGUCCCUCAAUGAGUCGUUUCCCAUAACCUUUUGUUGACAGAAAUUACAUCUCCCCAGAGAACAUUGGCUCUGCAACCUUUUGUUGUUGAUACCCCCAAGCAAGUCUUACCCAAUAAUGUCCCAAUACUACCCAACAAAUCGGGUUUACUGGACUUUGACAGUAGCCUUAUUUUUCCAAUAUUUUUCUCACUACCAUCCUUUUGGUGAAAGUCCAUGGAGGAAUAAUACCAGUCAUCACCUUGUUUAUGAUCACCGUUAUCCUUUUGGUAAUGGUAAAUUCUUGACAUUUGUGAUCUUACUGUCAUCCUUUUGGUGUCGAAGAUCAUUGAAGUUUUAAGCUAACCUUCAUCCUUUUGAAUCACCUUGUUUAUGAUCACCGUUAUCCUUUUGGUAAUGGUAAAUUCUUGACAUUUGUGAUCUUACUGUCAUCCUUUUGGUGUCGAAGAUCAUUGAAGUUUUAAGCUAACCUUCAUCCUUUUGGUGAUGGUGACCUCUGCAAUUAUUACACCCCACUGUCAUCCUUUUGGUGUCAGUAAUAUUUGAAGUCAUUAUAACUUAUUAUCAUCCUUUUGGUGGUAACGAGUUUCGAAGUUAUGAUUCCACCUUCAUCCUUUUGGUGAUGGUGAUUGUUGAUUCAUUAUCAUCCUUUUGGUGAUAACGAGUUCUGUUGUUUGUAGCGCCUUCAUCCUUUUGGUGAUGGUGACUAUUGACUUAUUAUCAUCCUUUUGGUGGUAACAAGUUUUGUCGUUUUAACAAUACCUUCAUCCUUUUGGUGAUGGUGAGUGUUGACUUCUUAUCAUCCUUUUGGUGAUAACAAGUUUGUGUCUUGAUCUUACCUUCAUCCUUUUGGUGAUGGCGAUCAUUUGUGUUGUCAGCUUAUUAUCAUCCUUUUGGUGGUAACUAAGUUUUGUCGUUUGACAAAUACCUUCAUCCUUUUGGUGAUGGUGAUUGUUGACUUCUUAUCAUCCUUUUGGUGAUAACAAGUUUGUGUUUUGAUCUUACCUUCAUCCUUUUGGUGAUGGUGAUCAUUUGCGUGUGUGCUUCUUAUCAUCCUUUUGGUGGUAACAAGUUUUAUCUUUUGAUUAUACCUUCAUCCUUUUGGUGAUGGUGGUUAUCAUCCUUUUGGUGAUAACAAGUUUGUGUCUUGAUCCUACCUUCAUCCUUUUGGUGAUGGUGAUCAAUUGUGUUGUGUUCUUAUUAUCAUCCUUUUGGUGAUAACAAGUUUGUGUCCUGAUUAUACCUUCAUCCUUUUGGUGAUGGUGAUUAUUGAAGUUAUCUGACUUAUUAUCAUCCUUUUGGUGAUAACAAGCUUUGUUGUUGGAUCUUACCUUCAUCCUUUUGGUGACGGUGAUCUUUGAAGUUUAUGAGUUAACUAUCAUCCUUUUGGUGAUAGCCUUGAUCCUAUACUCUCAGUAAUGGAAAAAUUUACCAGAAUGACCAUCAUCCUUUUGGUGAUAGAAAUCUGUGAAUUGUGUCUAACUUUCAUCCUUUAGGUGAUAGCGAGAUUUGUUGUUGAUCUGACCAUCAUCCUUUUGGUGAUGGCGAUCUUUGUUGCACCCACUGUAACCAUUAUCCUUUUGGUGAUGACUACCUUAAAAGCUCAGCUUAUCCAUCAUCCUUUUGGUGAUGACAAUCCUCAAAAUCAUGGUGAAUCUCUGUCAUCCUUUUGGUGUCAGAAAACCAGUCCCACCUUUGUCUUCACAUCAGAAAUAACCUGUGCCAGAUUUGAAUGUUGACUCGAGGGUUGGCAUUGAUCGAACAUCCUACCCCCAUUACCUUGGCAUCCAUUGCAUUUUCAUCUGCAUCUCUCCAUUGCAUUUCAAAGGACAAAAUUUGGAUCCUUUAGUAUUUAAUUACCUUCCACCACGAAUGUAUGAUGACCUUUAUCAUUCUUACUUUCUAGUUCAAGAUAAUUAAAUAGGGGCAGCUGUCGUACCCCAAUUUUGUCCGGGCAUUUUUAAUUUUUUCAAAAUUAAUUUCAGUUUCAUUUUUGCAUCAUACGCAUAGCAUGACAUACAUUUGCAUCAUGAAUAAACACCUAAAAUGUCAGUCAGAAGGAAUUUAUUUGAGAAUACAGAAAAAAUCGGUUGAAUCGUUAAAAUUUGAGAAAAGACUGUAUUUUUAAUAAGUAGGUUUUGUGCUGACAAUUUUAAUGUGACUGGUUUAUUUAUUAUUAUUAUUUUUUUUAUUUUUUUAUUUUCUUUCUUUUUUCGAAUUAAAUUUGUACUCGAUUUUUUUUAAUUGGUCAAAUAUUAGUUAGAGUUUUUUUUUAAAUAUUAUUUAAUUAAAUAUUAGUUAAUGUUUUUUAUAUUAAUUAGUUUUUUUAUAUUAGUUAGAUUUUUUCUAAAAUAGUAGUUAAUUUUAGUUUUUAAAUAUUAAUUAGUUUGUUUAGUUAGAUUUUGUAAAAUAUUAGUUAGAGUAUUUUUUUUUUAAUAUUAAUUAGUUUUUCUAAAUAUUAGUUAGUUUUUAAAUAUUAGUUAGAUUUUUCUUUUUAAUAUUAAUUAGUUUUUUUUAGUGUUAAUUAGUUUAAGAGUUAGUUAGCUUUUUUAUUAGUUAAUUUUUAAAUAGUAGUUAGUUAGAGUUUUUAAAAUAUUAAUUAGUUUUUUUAUUUUUUAUGAAUAUAUGUAUUUUACAUUGGAUUCCAAUCCAUAAAAAAACAAAAAAAACAAAAUCUCCCAACGUCUCUCUCCAUCCACUCCCAACAGACCCUGCUCCACUACCUCUCCUCUCUCUCGUACCAGAAAAGACAAAAAAAGAAAAUAGAUAAAUGGGAACGUUACUCUCUCACUCUCAGACCACUAUUCACUCUCUCAAAAAAAAGACAAUCUCUCAAUUUCCUCUCAACUCUGAGCUCACACAAUCCCCUUCCUCUCUCGCCCCAAAUCUCUCACUCUCAAUUCUCAGCUGAAACUCUCACCGACAAACCCUCCUCUCUAAAAUCCGCCGCCACCACCUUCUACCACCACUAAACACUCACCAACCGUCAACCCUCCGAAUCCUUCAUCAUCUUCGUCAUCGCAACUCAACCGUUCACCGCCACCCAAAACCCCUACCGUCGCGGCGACUUCCACCUUCAAACCCUUAAACCACCUUCGAAACACCGUCAAAACCGCCGUCGCUCUCACCGGCAAACUCUCUCCAUCUACCUUCAAAUCGCGCCCUCACCGACAAACCCACACGAAACCUACUCAUCUCACAAUCUCCAAGCCGUCACCAUCCAUCAUCGCUUCCGUCCACAAUCGCGACCCAUCUUCACCGCUAAAACCUAAUCUCUAAAUCCGCCGUCAUCACCGUACCGAAGCCGUCGGUGACUUGUCAGUUCGCAACUAUCUUCGAC
RNAcentral lists this long non-coding RNA (9269 nucleotides) under Lathyrus oleraceus (garden pea). RNAcentral describes it as "Pisum sativum (pea) long non-coding RNA (PSAT_LNC037724)". The record is from RNAcentral. Lineage: Eukaryota; Viridiplantae; Streptophyta; Magnoliopsida; Fabales; Fabaceae.